RNAcentral lists this ribosomal RNA (440 nucleotides) under uncultured bacterium. RNAcentral describes it as "partial 16S ribosomal RNA". It matches the Rfam family "Bacterial small subunit ribosomal RNA", at positions 338 to 795 of the family's 1533-position model. The record is from RNAcentral.
CCUACGGGUGGCAGCAGUGGGGAAUAUUGCACAAUGGGGGAAACCCUGAUGCAGCAACGCCGCGUGGGUGAAGAAGUUUCUCGGUAUGUAAAGCUCUAUCGGCAGGGAAGAUUAUGACGGUACCUAACUAAUAAGCACCGGCUAACUCCGUGCCAGCAGCCGCGGUAAUACGUAUGGUGCAAGCGUUAUCCGGAUUUACUGGGUGUAACGGGAGCGCAGGCGGGGUGGUAAGUCAGAUGUGAAAUCCCGUGGCUUAACCACGGGACUGCAUUUGAAACUGUGGGGCUAGAGUGUGGGAGAGGUAAGUGGAAUUCUUAGUGUAGCGGUGAAAUGCGUAGAGAUCAGGAGGAAUACUCGUGGCGAAGGCGGCUUGCUGGAAGAUGACUGACGCUGAGGCUCGAAAGCGUGGGGAGCAAACAGGAUUAGAUACCCGUGUAGUC